AAGGGAAUGUUUGGCCUGUAGGAUGCUUUUGGAGACCUGGAUUUGGGCCUCCUGGGCCAUGACAUAUUCCCG
Molecule: non-coding RNA, 72 nt
Organism: Eptesicus fuscus (big brown bat)
Lineage: Eukaryota; Metazoa; Chordata; Mammalia; Chiroptera; Vespertilionidae
Source: RefSeq, marked provisional